Molecule: transfer RNA, 66 nt
Filed under: Megacopta horvathi
Lineage: Eukaryota; Metazoa; Arthropoda; Insecta; Hemiptera; Plataspidae
Description: tRNA-Pro
Source: RNAcentral
CAGUAAAUAGUUUAUUUAAAAUAUUAAUUUUGGAGAUUAAUGAAAGGUAUUAUUAUCUUUUACUGA